GCUAAAACCCUAGCCCGCCCAAACACACAAACCCGCCCCACCAUAAUUUAAACCAAACCAUUUGCCACGCCAAGUAUAUGAGAUAGAACCGCACGCAGGAGCAAUAGUUAACAGUACCGUAAGGGAACGAUGAAAUAUAAAUUACAAACCUACAAGCACAAAACAGCAGGGCUGCACCCCCGUACCUUUUGCAUCAUGGUUUAGCCAGCAAAAAGCAAAUAAAGAGCCCUAAACUUGCCACCCCGAAUCCCAGCGAGCUACUCACGGGCAAUCUUAAACUAACGGAUGAACCCAUCUCUGUGGCAAAAGAGUGGGACGACCCUUGAGUAGAGGUGAAACACCAAUCGAGCUUGGAGAUAGCUGGUUGCUCAAAUUUAGACGAAUCAAAGUUCAAUGCCCGCUCAAACCCCAUAUUCCCACAAACCAAAUUUGUUCAUAGCUGGCAGAUAAUCAACGAGGGUACAGCCUCAUUGAAAUUGGACACAACCAAUACUAGAGGACAAUACCCACCACCAACGCCCAGUUGGCCCUAAAGCAGCCACCAAAAAAUAUAGCGUCAAAGCAAAGACAAACACAAUGCCAAAAAACACCCAAACCCCCUACACCAUCAAACUGAGCCACUCUACCAACAUCGCGCUAGAGGCAAAACUGCUAAAACUAGUAACUCAUUAAGAGCCCACUCACACCAAGGCACACCCAUACAUACAAAUUAUUAUCGGACCAAUACGCACAACACAAGAACACUUUACUAAAACAUCCGUCACCCCAACCCAGGAGUGCCACUACACCCGCGCAACAGCCAUAAAAGGAACUCGGCUAACCCACCCCACCUGUUUACCAAAAACAUCGCCUUUAGCCACACAAGUAUUAAAGGUCCCGCCUGCCCAGUGAAUAAGCUUAUUUCAACGGCCGCGGUAUUCUAACCGUGCAAAGGUAGCGUAAUCACUUGUCCCCUAAAUAGGGACUAGUAUGAACGGCUAAAUGAGGGUGAAACUGUCUUUUAUGGCCACUCAGUGAAACUGAUCUCCUAGUACAAAAGCUAGGAUGCACCCACAAGACGAGAAGACCCUGUGGAGCUUACAACAGCUGCGCACUACUACCAGAUAACAUCACCAACAGGUAAACACAAAUCUAAUAAUAGGCCACAGUUUAAGUUGGGGCAACUGCGGAGAACAACUAAACCUCCGUGCAUCGGGCUAACCGCCCCUAAUAAAGGGCCACAACCCUAAAAGACCAAUUAACUGACCCAGUACAACUGACAAACGAACCAAGUUACCCCAGGGAUAACAGCGCCAUCCUCUCCAAGAGUCCAUAUCUACAAGAGGGUUUACGACCUCGAUGUUGGAUCAGGACACCCCAGUGGUGCAGCCGCUACUAAAGGCCCGUUUGUUCAACGGCUAACGUCCUACGUGAUCUGAGUUCAGACCGGAAAUAAUCCAGGUCGGUUUCUAUCUGUGCCAAAUCUUCUUUAGUACGAAAGGACCAAGAAGACAGUGCCAAUACCACGAGCACGCACUGAACACAAAACUGAAACGAUCUAAAGCACCAAAACUUUAACCCACGCCCCUAGACCAGGGGCACUGUUAC
RNAcentral lists this ribosomal RNA (1587 nucleotides) under Hemidactylus ulii. RNAcentral describes it as "16S ribosomal RNA". It matches the Rfam family "Bacterial large subunit ribosomal RNA", at positions 400 to 2925 of the family's 2925-position model. The record is from RNAcentral. Lineage: Eukaryota; Metazoa; Chordata; Lepidosauria; Squamata; Gekkonidae.